This 1916-nucleotide long non-coding RNA is filed under the name Parus major (Great Tit). Its description in RNAcentral is "lncRNA (ENSPMJG00000004506.1)". The record is from RNAcentral. Lineage: Eukaryota; Metazoa; Chordata; Aves; Passeriformes; Paridae.
GUCCCCAGGUGGGAGCGUCCCCAGGCCCCUCCCCCACCUCGGGGGGCUCCUCCUGGCCACCACAGCCCUGGCAGUGGCCACCGGGACCUUCUGAGCCACGAGGCCACCAAGGUCACCGAGGUCACCGAGGUCCCUGUGGCCACCAAGGUCACCGAGGUCACCAAGGUCACUGCGGCCACCAAGGUCACCGAGGUCACCGAGGUCCCUGUGGUCACUGUGGCCACCAGGACCCUCUGAGUCAUGAGGCCACCAAGGUCACCGAGGUCACUGAGGCCACUGCGGCCACCAAGGUCACCGAGGUCCCUGUGGUCACUGUGGCCAUGACACCGAGGUCACUGCGGCCACCAAGGACACCGGGACAUCCUGAGUGACAAGGCCACCACCGUGGUCACUUUGGCCACCACCGAGGCCACUUUGGCCACCACAGCCACUCUGGCCACCACGAGCACUGGGGUCACCAAGGCCACCAGGACCCCCUGAGCCACAAGGCCACCACCAAGGCCACCACUGUCACUGUGGUCACUUUGGCCACCGUGGGUACUGGGCCACUGGAGUCACUACUGUCACCAUGGCCAUUGUGGCCACUGUGGCCGCUGUGACCACUGAGGCCACCAUGGCCACCAAUGCCACCAUGGCCACCGUGGUCACUGUGGCCACCAAGGCCACCAAAGCCACUGUGGCCACCAAGGCCACCAUGGCCACCAUGGUCACCACGGCCACCAAGGCCACCACGGCCACCAAGGCCACCAAGGCCACCAAGGCCACUGUAGCCAUCAAGGCCACCGUGGUCACCAAUGCCACCAUGGCCACCAAGGCCACUGUAGCCACCAUGGUCACUGUGGCCACCAUGGCCAGGACAAGGGGACAGAGCCAUGGUUGCCACCAGGACAGGGGACAGGUGACAGGGGUCAGGUGACAGGGGACAGGUGACAGGUGACAGGACAGGACAGGGGGUGGUGGCCGCGGUUCUUCGCUUUUGGGGAUUUUUUAUGUCCCCUUCCCAAUAAUUUUAAUUCUUGCGGAUAAUUAAACUGGAUUUGCCUCAAUUAAAAAAUGAUCCUCUCACUUUGACCCAAAUUAAAGGAUUUGGGGUCCGGUUUAUUUAAUUUAGACCCAAAUUAAAGGAUUUGGGGUCCGGUUUAUUUGAUUUAGACCCAAAUUAAGGGAUUUGGGGUCCGGUUUAUUUGAUUUAGACCCAAAUUAAGGGAUUUGGGGUCCGGUUUAGGGGAUUUAGACCCAAAUUAAGGGAUUUGGGGUCCGGUUUAGGGGAUUUAGACCCAAAUUAAGGGAUUUGGGGUCCGGUUUAGGGGAUUUAGACCCAAAUUAAGGGAUUUGGGGUCCGGUUUAGGGGAUUUAGACCCAAAUUAAGGGAUUUGGGGUCCGGUUUAUUUGAUUUAGACCCAAAUUAAGGGAUUUGGGGUCCGGUUUGGGGGAUUUAGACCCAAAUUAAGGGAUUUGGUUUCAGGGAUUUCAACCUGAAUUGAAGGUUUUAGCCCUGAAUUAAAGGAUUUUGAUCAUAAUUAAGGAAUUUCAACCUGAAUUAGGAGUUUUCAGCCUGAAUUAAGGGAUCUCAAUCUGAAUUAAGAGAUUUAAACGAGAAUCUAGUGAUUUAAACACGAAUUAAGUGAUUUAAACCAGAAUUAAGUGAUUUAAACCGAAAUUAAGUGAUUUAAACCAGAAUUAAGUGAUUUAAACCCGAAUUAAGCGAUUUAAACCCGAAUCAAGUGAUUUAAACCCAAAUUAAGCGUUUUAAACCUGAAUUAAGCGAUUUAAACCCGAAUUAAUUGAUUUAAACCCCAAUUAAGCGUUUUAAACCCGAAUCAAGUGAUUUAAACCCAAAUUAAGCGAUUUAAACCCGAAUUAAGCUAUUUCUGGGCCGGUUUAAGGGGUUUUGGCCAUUUUGGAGGUUCGGGGGG